This 235-nucleotide ribosomal RNA is filed under the name uncultured Actinomycetales bacterium. RNAcentral describes it as "partial 16S ribosomal RNA". It matches the Rfam family "Bacterial small subunit ribosomal RNA", at positions 96 to 334 of the family's 1533-position model. The record is from RNAcentral. Lineage: Bacteria; Bacillati; Actinomycetota; Actinomycetes; Actinomycetales.
UGGCGAACGGGCGAGUAACACGUGGGUGAUCUGCCCUGCACUCUGGGAUAAGCCUGGGAAACUGGGUCUAAUACCGGAUAGGACCAUGCUUUAGUGUGUGUGGUGGAAAGUUUUUUCGGUGUAGGAUGAGCCCGCGGCCUAUCAGCUUGUUGGUGGGGUAAUGGCCUACCAAGGCGGCGACGGGUAGCCGGACUGAGAGGUUGGUCGGCCACAUUGGGACUGAGAUACGGCCCAG